RNAcentral lists this ribosomal RNA (253 nucleotides) under uncultured bacterium. RNAcentral describes it as "partial 16S ribosomal RNA". It matches the Rfam family "Bacterial small subunit ribosomal RNA", at positions 526 to 779 of the family's 1533-position model. The record is from RNAcentral.
CGGAGGGUGCAAGCGUUGUCCGGAUUUAUUGGGUUUAAAGGGUGCGUAGGCGGCUUGAUAAGUCCGUGGUGAAAGCCAACAGCUCAACUGUUGAACUGCCAUGGAUACUGUCAGGCUUGAGUACAGACGAGGUAGGCGGAAUGGAUCGUGUAGCGGUGAAAUGCAUAGAUACGAUCCAGAACUCCGAUUGCGAAGGCAGCUUACUAGGCUGUAACUGACGCUGAGGCACGAAAGCGUGGGAGCGAACAGGAUU